This 837-nucleotide ribosomal RNA is filed under the name Vitreorana eurygnatha (Rio glass frog). Its description in RNAcentral is "partial 16S ribosomal RNA". It matches the Rfam family "Bacterial large subunit ribosomal RNA", at positions 1430 to 2581 of the family's 2925-position model. Lineage: Eukaryota; Metazoa; Chordata; Amphibia; Anura; Centrolenidae. The record is from RNAcentral.
UAUUAAUUCCCUCACCAUCUAAAAACCCUUAAGUAUUACUGAGUAAUUCUAUAUAACUAUAGAAGAUUUUAUGUUAAAACUAGUAACAAGAAGAAGUACUUCUAUUAUAAUGCAAGUGUAAAUCAGACAGGACACACCGCUGAUAAUUAACACAUAAAAGUAGUAACUCAACAAGAAAACCCUACUAAAUACUUUAUGUUAAUCUAACACAAGAGCAUUCCAAAAAGAUUUAAAGAAAGAGAAGGAACUCGGCAAAUCAUAACCUCGCCUGUUUACCAAAAACAUCGCCUCUUGAAUAAAUAUAAGAGGUCCAGCCUGCCCAGUGACUCUGUUCAACGGCCGCGGUAUCCUAACCGUGCGAAGGUAGCGUAAUCACUUGUUCUUUAAAUGAGGACUAGUAUGAAUGGCACCACGAGGGUUAUACUGUCUCCCCUUUCUAAUCAGUGAAACUAAUCUCCCCGUGAAGAAGCGGGAAUAAAUAUAUAAGACGAGAAGACCCUAUGGAGCUUUAAACCAUGCGACACUUGCACCAACCCAUGCAAAUUUCAGAAAAAUCUCCCCACCCAUGCAAGAUGAUCACCAGUUUUAGGUUGGGGUGACCGCGGAGCAAAAAAUAACCUCCACAUUGAAAGGAGCCCUACUCCUUAGCUUAGAGCCACACCUCCAUGCACCAAUACAAUGACAUUAAUUGACCCAAUAUUUUGAUCAACGAACCAAGUUACCCUAGGGAUAACAGCGCAAUCCACUUCAAGAGCUCCUAUCGACAAGUGGGUUUACGACCUCGAUGUUGGAUCAGGGUAUCCUGGUGGUGCAGCCGCUACCAAAGGUUCGUUUGUU